GUACUUGCUUCGACAGUACAUAUACUAAAAUUGGAACGAUACAGAGAAGAUUAGCAUGGCUCUUGCGCAAGGAUAACACGCAAAAUCGUGAAACGUUUCACAUAAAA
Molecule: small nuclear RNA, 107 nt
Filed under: Monomorium pharaonis (pharaoh ant)
Lineage: Eukaryota; Metazoa; Arthropoda; Insecta; Hymenoptera; Formicidae
Source: RNAcentral